RNAcentral lists this ribosomal RNA (494 nucleotides) under uncultured bacterium. RNAcentral describes it as "partial 16S ribosomal RNA". It matches the Rfam family "Bacterial small subunit ribosomal RNA", at positions 28 to 507 of the family's 1533-position model. The record is from RNAcentral.
GACGAACGCUGGCGGCGCGCUUAACACAUGCAAGUCGAACGGAAAGGCCUGCUUUCCCUUGUGGAUUGCGGGUACUCGGGUGGCGAACGGGUGAGUAACACGUGAGUGAUCUGCCCCCAACUUGGGUAUAAGCCUGGGAAACUGGGUCUAAUUCCCGAUAGGACUGCAGGGUGGUGCCUGUGGUGGAAAACGAUUUUCUAGUGGUUGGGGAUGAGCUCGCGGCCUAUCAGCUUGUUGGUGGGGUAAUGGCCUACCAAGGCGGCGACGGGUAGCCGGCCUGAGAGGGUGGACGGCCACAUUGGGACUGAGAUACGGCCCAGACUCCUACGGGAGGCAGCAGUGGGGAAUAUUGCACAAUGGGCGGAAGCCUGAUGCAGCGACGCCGCGUGGGGGAUGACGGCCUUCGGGUUGUAAACUCCUUUCGACCGCGAGGAAGCCACCUGGUUGGAAGGGUGGUGACGGUAGUGGUAGAAGAAGCACCGGCUAACUACGUG